Non-coding RNA from Pseudoalteromonas luteoviolacea B = ATCC 29581, 97 nucleotides. NCBI's taxonomy places the organism in Bacteria, Pseudomonadati, Pseudomonadota, Gammaproteobacteria, Alteromonadales, Pseudoalteromonadaceae. The record is from Rfam.
UAUUGGUCCUCUCGCAACAAUAGUACGUGAACCUGGUCAGGUCGGGAACGAAGCAGCCACAGCGUAUGACUUGUGUGCCGGGAUGUGGCUGGUAAGA